CACCAGGCGCGAAAACUUUACAAUGCCGGCAACGGCGAUAAGGGAACCUCGAGUGCCGGGUUACAAAUCUGGCUGUCGUGAUGCCUAAAAAGCAUUGCAUAGCAAGGGCCGGGCAAGACCGGUGCCAGCCGCCGCGGUAACACCGGCGGCUCGAGUGGUAACCGUUAUUAUUGGGUCUAAAGGGUCUGUAGCCGGCCGGGUAAGUCUCUUGGGAAAUCUGGCAGCUUAACUGUCAGGCUUUCAGGAGAUACUGCCUGGCUCGAGGCCGGGAGAGGUGAGAGGUACUUCAGGGGUAGGGGUGAAAUCUUGUAAUCCUUGAAGGACCACCAGUGGCGAAGGCGUCUCACCAGAACGGACCUGACGGCAAGGGACGAAAGCUAGGGGCACGAACCGGAUUAGAUACCCGGGUAGUCCUAGCCGUAAACGAUACUCGCUAGGUGUCGGCCACGGUGCGACCGUGGUCGGUGCCGUAGGGAAGCCGUGAAGCGAGCCACCUGGGAAGUACGGCCGCAAGGCUGAAACUUAAAGGAAUUGGCGGGGGAGCAC
This 546-nucleotide ribosomal RNA is filed under the name uncultured archaeon. RNAcentral describes it as "bacterial SSU rRNA". It matches the Rfam family "Archaeal small subunit ribosomal RNA", at positions 333 to 879 of the family's 1478-position model. The record is from RNAcentral.